GUCCAGACUCCUACGGGAGGCAGCAGUGGGGAAUAUUGCACAAUGGGGGAAACCCUGAUGCAGCGACGCCGCGUGGAGGAAGAAGGUCUUCGGAUUGUAAACUCCUGUCCUUGGGGACGAUAAUGACGGUACCCAAGGAGGAAGCACCGGCUAACUACGUGCCAGCAGCCGCGGUAAUACGUAGGGGGCAAGCGUUAUCCGGAUUUACUGGGUGUAAAGGGAGCGUAGACGGCCAGACAAGUCUGAAGUGAAAAUCCAGCGCUUAACGUUGGAAGUGCUUUGGAAACUGCCGGGCUGGAGUGCAGGAGGGGCAGGCGGAAUUCCUAGUGUAGCGGUGAAAUGCGUAGAUAUUAGGAGGAACACCAGUGGCGAAGGCGGCCUGCUGGACUGCAACUGACGUUGAGGCUCGAAGGCGUGGGGAGCAAACAGGAUUAGAUACCCGCGUAUG
RNAcentral lists this ribosomal RNA (448 nucleotides) under uncultured bacterium. RNAcentral describes it as "bacterial SSU rRNA". It matches the Rfam family "Bacterial small subunit ribosomal RNA", at positions 329 to 793 of the family's 1533-position model. The record is from RNAcentral.